UUAUUAUUUAUGUAAAAAUAAGUACAUGCUUUUAGAUUUUUCUGAUAUUAAUGUUUAAAAAUGAGCUUGUUGAGUGUUUCCACUUAUUGGUAGUUCAGAUUUUCAGAAAAUCAGCCCCUCUACUAUCAAUGUGUGUGUAUUAGUGAGCAGUGGGGACAAAUUUUAAUGAAACGUCUUGAUCAAUCAGAGUGGAUAAGAUCCUUUUCACCGUGGAACGUCACAUAUAAAUUUACAUAUAAUAUUUUCUUUCUCUAUUGUUAUAAAUUUGUUCUCUAAAGUGUAAAAAAGAUUUUUGCACACUUGUAGUGUGUGUGUUAUUUGAAGUUAUAAGAGUUACUGAUUUACAUGUUGAACAAACAAAUAUUUAUUUAAUCAUUCAAAAUAGAAGAUUAUGGAUGCUUCAUAUCUCUAUACUUUUAAAGAAUAUACUUCAAAUGAAAUUUGAAUUUUAAGUAAUACCGAAAUCGAGAGUUGUUAAUUGUCAAACGAUUGAAAGAUUUGUUUGAAAAUCAUGGCAUCACUGAUUAAUCUUACAAUAGUGGAAAAGGAAAUCACCACUAAAUCUCCGUUUAUUUUUGAUCCACAUGUUGGAGAAUAUUUUCUAUUUUUAAUAACAAUUCCUGCAGAAACUGUGCUGAAUUCCAGUGAAUAUAAAACCAGCGCAGUUUUACAGGAAAGUCCAUUGAUAACCUGUGAUAUCAAAUUUAGUAAAAUUGGCACUUGUUUGAGUGGGGAAAUAAACUUUUCAGAGAAUUCAUCAAAUAAGCAAUAUGCAGUAACUCUUUACUACAUAAAUUCUGAGCAUAAAUUUGAAUUAUCAGAAACAAUUGAUGUGCCACCUAUUAAACAUAAGUGUUCUCAUUUCUUUAAUCAUGAAUAUAAAUGUGUUAGACAUAGUAAUUUUAAAACGUACGUUCUAUGUGAAAAUUCCAUCAACAACAGUUUUUAUAUAUAUUCUGCAAAGUAGCUGUGAAAAACCUUUCAUCUGAAAAUCUAAAGAUUUCAGAAAAGGAAACACCCACGAAAUUAGAUUCUAUUUAUAAAGAAAAAGAAUUCACUGAUUUCAAGAUCAUUUGCCAGGAUCAAGAGUUCUUGAUUCAUAAAGCUGUUCUUUCGCAAUCAUCUCCUGUUUUUCGUGCCAUGUUUGAUAUCCCAAUGAGAGAGAGUAAAGAGAACAAAGCCGAAAUUAAAGAUUUCAGUCCACCCGUCGUUGAAUUAAUGCUACAUUACAUGUACUCCGAAGAAAUUAAGAAUGAUUUAUCUCUUGAAACAUUGAAACAACUUAUGGAAGCUGCAAAUAUGUAUCAACUAGAGGAUUUAAAAAAGCUAUGCUUGAGGGAAAUAUGCAAAUUUAUCAAAGAUAUCAGUGACGUUGUAAAUAUCAGUAUCUUCAUUGGAGCUGAGUUUAAAGAAGAUUUGAUUGAACGUAUAAAACAUAUCAACCUUCGUGAAUUUUAAAGAAAAAACUUCUUUCAUUUUCAAGAGGAAACUAGGUUUAAAUUUAUUUUAAAGACAAAAUUACGUUCAAGUUUAAUUUAAAGGAUAAACAAAGAUUAUGUUUGUUUUAAAGAAUAUGCUUUAAGUUUACUUUACGUAAAAAGCCACAUUUCAUGAAAUGUUAUUUUAAAAAGUUCCAUUUAAAUUAUUUAGAAAAUUGUCAUAAUGCUUUACAAAUUUUAUUUAUCAUCACUCAAACUGUAAAUUUUAAACGAGCAAAAUAUUCCAACACAUCGUUUACAAACUGUUUAGUUUCUUCAAUUUAUUUCUGUAAAAAAAAUAAUAUGUAUAUUUAAAACUAUCAUUAAAUGCACUAUAUUUUGCAAAA
Leptopilina heterotoma is the source of this 1825-nucleotide long non-coding RNA. RefSeq lists it as uncharacterized. The transcript has 2 exons. NCBI's taxonomy places the organism in Eukaryota, Metazoa, Arthropoda, Insecta, Hymenoptera, Figitidae. The record is from RefSeq and is a predicted model, not a curated record.